This 328-nucleotide unclassified non-coding RNA is filed under the name soil metagenome. RNAcentral's name for it is "partial contains 5.8S ribosomal RNA, internal transcribed spacer 2, and large subunit ribosomal RNA". The stretch from base 1 to 119 matches the Rfam family "5.8S ribosomal RNA", at positions 35 to 154 of the family's 154-position model. The record is from RNAcentral.
GAUGAAGAACGUAGCGAAAUGCGAUACGUAGUGUGAAUUGCAGAAUCCGUGAGUCAUCGAAUCUUUGAACGCACAUUGCGCCCCUUGGUAUUCCGAGGGGCAUGCCUGUUCGAGCGUCAUUAUAACCCCUCAAGCUCAGCUUGGUGUUGGGGCCUGCUGCACUGGCAGCCCUUAAAAUCAGUGGCGGCGCCAUCUGGCUCUAAGCGUAGUAAUUCUUCUCGCUAUGGAGUCCUGGUGGAUGCUUGCCAUCAACCCCCAAUUUUUCUAUGGUUGACCUCGGAUCAGGUAGGGAUACCCGCUGAACUUAAGCAUAUCAAUAAGCGGAGGA